RNAcentral lists this ribosomal RNA (578 nucleotides) under uncultured marine eukaryote. RNAcentral describes it as "SSU rRNA". It matches the Rfam family "Eukaryotic small subunit ribosomal RNA", at positions 620 to 1201 of the family's 1831-position model. The record is from RNAcentral.
UUAAAAGCUCGUAGUUGGAUUUCUGUUGAGGACGGCCGGUCCGCAUUAUGUGCGUGUAUCUGGUUCGGCCUUGGCAUCCUCCAGGGGAACGUUCCUGCGCUUCGCUGCGUGGGACGGUAUUCUGGACUUUUACUUUGAGGAAAUUAGAGUGUUCACGGCAGGCAGUCGCCUUGAAUAUAUUAGCAUGGAAUAAUAAUAUAGGACCUUGAUUCUAUUUUGUUGGUUUCUAGAAUUUAGGUAAUGAUUAAUAGGGACAAUUGGGGGCAUUUGUAUUAACACGUCAGAGGUGGAAUUCUUGGAUUGUGUUACGACAAACUACUGCGAAAGCAUUUGCCAAGGAUGUUUUCAUUGAUCAAGAACGAAAGUAAGGGGAUCGAAGACGAUUAGAUACCGUCGUAGUCUUUACCAUAAACUAUGCCAACUAGAGAUUGGAGGUCGUUCUUUUUAUGACUCCUUCAGCACCUUAUGAGAAAUCAAAGUCUUUGGGUUCCGGGGGGAGUAUGGUCGCAAGGCUGAAACUUAAAGGAAUUGACGGAAAGGCACCACCAGGAGUGGAGCCUGCGGCUUAAUUUUGACUC